AAAUUGAAGAGUUUGAUCAUGGCUCAGAUUGAACGCUGGCGGCAGGCCUAACACAUGCAAGUCGAACGGUAGCACAGAGAGCUUGCUCUCGGGUGACGAGUGGCGGACGGGUGAGUAAUGUCUGGGAAACUGCCUGAUGGAGGGGGAUAACUACUGGAAACGGUGGCUAAUACCGCAUAACGUCGCAAGACCAAAGAGGGGGACCUUCGGGCCUCUUGCCAUCAGAUGUGCCCAGAUGGGAUUAGCUUGUUGGUGAGGUAACGGCUCACCAAGGCGACGAUCCCUAGCUGGUCUGAGAGGAUGACCAGCCACACUGGAACUGAGACACGGUCCAGACUCCUACGGGAGGCAGCAGUGGGGAAUA
This 364-nucleotide ribosomal RNA is filed under the name Salmonella enterica subsp. enterica serovar Infantis. RNAcentral describes it as "bacterial SSU rRNA". It matches the Rfam family "Bacterial small subunit ribosomal RNA", at positions 1 to 363 of the family's 1533-position model. Lineage: Bacteria; Pseudomonadati; Pseudomonadota; Gammaproteobacteria; Enterobacterales; Enterobacteriaceae. RNAcentral also lists the same sequence under 1 other name. The record is from RNAcentral.